UUUCACAAAAUUUAGCGCCAUAACUGCCCGCUAAAAUUCCCAUGGAAGUUGACCUCUGAUUCUUCAUCACGAUCCUUUGAUUUUAAUCCCCAAUCACAGCUGCAGUUCGCUUCAUCGCUUCUAGAGAGCUCGUUUUGUUACAGCUGAUUAUCUGAUUCUGAUUAUUCAAAACACAUAAUCUAUUUUAAAAAAGCAAUCCCAAACACCCCCUAAGACCAUGGGUAUGGUGGGCAUGAGUUUGGGGGCAUGAGUUGACACGUGGAAAACAAACCUAAACCCACGCCCAUGGGGUAUGAUGGGGCUUGGGUUGGGGGCAUGAGUUGACACAUGGGGGCAUGUGAAAUAGCUAGUUUGUUUGGCCAUUGAGAGCCCGCCAUGUCACCUUCCUAGCCCGCCCCACGCCCGGCUUCAAACCCAAGCUCCAAGAGCCACGCCCAAACCCACGUCCUAAUCCAAGCCCCUGGGGUGGUGGCUUGGACGUUUUCAGCCAACCCACCCUCAACCCAAGCCCCAUACCCAUAGCAUAUAAGAAGUUUAAAAUAAACAUUAAAUUCAACGAUAGGUUGAAAUUCAAUAUAUUUAUUUCAAUAUAUAUUUUUUGUUAUUUCUUAACCCUUACCCUAACAUCGUUGCCCUGGUUAUUCAUUCCAUCAGCGACAUCAGCAGCUUCAAGUGACAUCCACGGUUCCAGCGACAUCAGCUUCCACGGCGGCGCUGCUUCUUUCUCCGGCGCCCCUUCUUCUUUCUCCGGCGGCGCUACUUUUUCCAGACUCCAACAGAUCAGGUCGCAUUUACAAUCAAAAGUUAGCUACUACUAAUACAUUGCCGCUACAUUCAACAUCAUGGUACAUGCAGCCAAAGGGAUCUUUAUUUCAUGCGACAUACCGAUGGCUCAAUUUAUAAUCAAUUACAACGCGUCAUUACCGCAAUCACAGAAGUUUAUUAUACACAUCUUGGAUGGUACUCAUCUUUUUGUUAGCAGCAAUGUGGAAGGAAUGAUAAGAAGUGCCAUUCAAGAGUUCAGAGAGAAGAACACCUAUGAGAAACCUGCCUGAUUCUUGUUUUUAUAGUCAACUUAAGUCAAACUUUGUCAUCUAAAAGUCCAUUUUGAUUAUCCUAUGUGUUUUGUGCUUCUACAUAUGGUUACUGGUUAUGACUUUUUUAAUUAGCAACAAUCAUUUUCUGCUCUA
Molecule: RNA transcript, 1190 nt
Organism: Helianthus annuus (common sunflower)
Lineage: Eukaryota; Viridiplantae; Streptophyta; Magnoliopsida; Asterales; Asteraceae
Gene name: general transcription and DNA repair factor IIH subunit TFB5
Exons: 4
Source: RefSeq, a predicted model, not a curated record